Molecule: long non-coding RNA, 931 nt
Organism: Macadamia integrifolia
Lineage: Eukaryota; Viridiplantae; Streptophyta; Magnoliopsida; Proteales; Proteaceae
Exons: 2
Source: RefSeq, a predicted model, not a curated record
GCGCCCUUGGUUUCCUAGUUGAUACGUAUAACAAUGAGACAUGAGGAAUGCUUGAAGCUAAGGAAAAACAGUUAUCCAUAAUGUGAUCAAUAUGCCAAGGACAUUCUUCCACCACAUGAUUCAAGAUGUUAAUCAUCAAAAGAUUGUCACUCUCAGAUAGCUUGCUGCAGACCUAUCUCAACGACCUUCUGACAGCAAAACGAGUAGCAAAGCUUCAGCAACAAGCCCAUAUGUGAGACCCACAUAACAGAAAAGCCACCUAAGAACCACCCUCUUGCCUCUCUGAGAACCCCUCCAAUACCAAAGGCACCUGGACAGCCACAAGAUGAUCCAUAGAUAUUAAUUUUCACUAAAGGUGGAGGUGGAGGAUCCCAUUUAAUGUAAGCAACUGAUGUCCGCUGAAGCUGGGACAAUGAGAUGGAGAUGAGUUCCUGAUUAUACAGAGCUUAUCACCAUGACGAUAUUGCCCACAUAUCAAUGGAAGAGGUUAGCUUUGCUGCCAGCUUGGUGUUUGGCGAGCAUCCAACGCUCAGAAAUGCCUUGGAUUGCAUGCGACUGCCUUGGGCUUCGUGCCUGAGCAAUUUUUACCGUUGGAUGCACGCCAGACUCCUUAUUACGCCACAGAGGAAUUCGAUGCGGGAUGAGAGAGGUAUAGAAGACUUUUCCAAGGAAAGGAGGAGAGAGAUGGACAAAGAUUUGAAUAUAUCGCUAGUAUACCCAACAUUUUCCCAUGCCUUGUAUACAAUUUUCUGUGCCGCAUAAAAUGAUUCUCACAAUUUUUUUAUUUUCCCCGGCAGCUGUUCAUUAAUUUCAUUCCAACGUGCUGCAAAGAAAUGUAUAAGAAACUAGAGGUGCUAAGGGUCUACUCGACCCUCUCUCCCCUAUUUUGCUUGUAAUAUUUUCAUUUGAUUUCAUAGCCAGUCUUUACUUA